UUAAGCGACUAAGCGUACACGGUGGAUGCCCUGGCAGUCAGAGGCGAUGAAGGACGUGCUAAUCUGCGAAAAGCGUCGGUAAGGUGAUAUGAACCGUUAUAACCGGCGAUGUCCGAAUGGGGAAACCCAGUGCAAUUCGUUGCACUAUCGUUAACUGAAUACAUAGGUUAACGAGGCGAACCGGGGGAACUGAAACAUCUAAGUACCCCGAGGAAAAGAAAUCAACCGAGAUUCCCCCAGUAGCGGCGAGCGAACGGGGAGCAGCCCAGAGUCUGAAUCAGCUUGUGUGUUAGUGGAACGGUCUGGAAAGUCCGACGGUACAGGGUGAUAGUCCCGUACACCAAAAUGCACAGGCUGUGAACUCGAAGAGUAGGGCGGGACACGUGGUAUCCUGUCUGAAUAUGGGGGGACCAUCCUCCAAGGCUAAAUACUCCUGACUGACCGAUAGUGAACCAGUACCGUGAGGGAAAGGCGAAAAGAACCCCGGCGAGGGGAGUGAAAAAGAACCUGAAACCGUGUACGUACAAGCAGUGGGAGCACCUUCGGGUGUGACUGCGUACCUUUUGUAUAAUGGGUCAGCGACUUAUAUUCUGUAGCAAGGUUAACCGUAUAGGGAGCCGCAGGAAACCGAGUCUUAACUGGGCGUUAAGUUGCAGGGUAUAGACCCGAAACCCGGUGAUCUAGCCAUGGGCAGGUUGAAGGUUGGGUAACACUAACUGGAGGACCGAACCGACUAAUGUUGAAAAAUUAGCGGAUGACUUGUGGCUGGGGGUGAAAGGCCAAUCAAACCGGGAGAUAGCUGGUUCUCCCCGAAAGCUAUUUAGGUAGCGCCUCGUGAACUCAUCUUCGGGGGUAGAGCACUGUUUCGGCUAGGGGGUCAUCCCGACUUACCAACCCGAUGCAAACUACGAAUACCGAAGAAUGUUAUCACGGGAGACACACGGCGGGUGCUAACGUCCGUCGUGAAGAGGGAAACAACCCAGACCGCCAGCUAAGGUCCCAAAGUCAUGGUUAAGUGGGAAACGAUGUGGGAAGGCACAGACAGCCAGGAUGUUGGCUUAGAAGCAGCCAUCAUUUAAAGAAAGCGUAAUAGCUCACUGGUCGAGUCGGCCUGCGCGGAAGAUGUAACGGGGCUAAACCAUGCACCGAAGCUGCGGCAGCGACACUAUGUGUUGUUGGGUAGGGGAGCGUUCUGUAAGCCUGCGAAGGUGACCUGUGAGGGUUGCUGGAGGUAUCAGAAGUGCGAAUGCUGACAUAAGUAACGAUAAAGCGGGUGAAAAGCCCGCUCGCCGGAAGACCAAGGGUUCCUGUCCAACGUUAAUCGGGGCAGGGUGAGUCGACCCCUAAGGCGAGGCCGAAAGGCGUAGUCGAUGGGAAACAGGUUAAUAUUCCUGUACUUGGUGUUACUGCGAAGGGGGGACGGAGAAGGCUAUGUUAGCCGGGCGACGGUUGUCCCGGUUUAAGCAUGUAGGCUGGUUGUCCAGGCAAAUCCGGAUAAUCAAGGCUGAGGUGUGAUGACGAGGCACUACGGUGCUGAAGUAACAAAUGCCCUGCUUCCAGGAAAAGCCUCUAAGCAUCAGGUAACAUUAAAUCGUACCCCAAACCGACACAGGUGGUCAGGUAGAGAAUACCAAGGCGCUUGAGAGAACUCGGGUGAAGGAACUAGGCAAAAUGGUGCCGUAACUUCGGGAGAAGGCACGCUGGUGUGUAGGUGAAGUCCCUGCGGAUGGAGCUGAGACCAGUCGAAGAUACCAGCUGGCUGCAACUGUUUAUUAAAAACACAGCACUGUGCAAACACGAAAGUGGACGUAUACGGUGUGACGCCUGCCCGGUGCCGGAAGGUUAAUUGAUGGGGUUAUCCGUAAGGAGAAGCUCUUGAUCGAAGCCCCGGUAAACGGCGGCCGUAACUAUAACGGUCCUAAGGUAGCGAAAUUCCUUGUCGGGUAAGUUCCGACCUGCACGAAUGGCGUAAUGAUGGCCAGGCUGUCUCCACCCGAGACUCAGUGAAAUUGAACUCGCUGUGAAGAUGCAGUGUACCCGCGGCAAGACGGAAAGACCCCGUGAACCUUUACUAUAGCUUGACACUGAACAUUGAGCCUUGAUGUGUAGGAUAGGUGGGAGGCUUUGAAGCGUGGACGCCAGUCUGCGUGGAGCCAACCUUGAAAUACCACCCUUUAAUGUUUGAUGUUCUAACGUUGGCCCCUGACCGGGGUUGCGGACAGUGUCUGGUGGGUAGUUUGACUGGGGCGGUCUCCUCCCAAAGCGUAACGGAGGAGCACGAAGGUUAGCUAAUCCUGGUCGGACAUCAGGAGGUUAGUGCAAUGGCAUAAGCUAGCUUGACUGCGAGCGUGACGGCGCGAGCAGGUGCGAAAGCAGGUCAUAGUGAUCCGGUGGUUCUGAAUGGAAGGGCCAUCGCUCAACGGAUAAAAGGUACUCCGGGGAUAACAGGCUGAUACCGCCCAAGAGUUCAUAUCGACGGCGGUGUUUGGCACCUCGAUGUCGGCUCAUCACAUCCCGGGCUGAAGUAGGUCCAAGGGUAUGGCUGUUCGCCAUUUAAAGUGGUACGCGAGCUGGGUUUAGAACGUCGUGAGACAGUUCGGUCCCUAUCUGCCGUGGGCGCUGGAGAAUUGAGGGGGGCUGCUCCUAGUACGAGAGGACCGGAGUGGACGCAUCACUGGUGUUCGGGUUGUCAUGCCAAUGGCACUGCCCGGUAGCUAAAUGCGGAAGAGAUAAGUGCUGAAAGCAUCUAAGCACGAAACUUGCCCCGAGAUGAGUUCUCCCUGAGACUUUAAGUCUCCUGAAGGAACGUUAAAGACGAUGACGUUGAUAGGCCGGGUGUGUAAGCGCAGCGAUGCGUUGAGCUAACCGGUACUAAUGAACCGUGAGGCUUAACCU
Molecule: ribosomal RNA, 2895 nt
Filed under: Klebsiella pneumoniae
Lineage: Bacteria; Pseudomonadati; Pseudomonadota; Gammaproteobacteria; Enterobacterales; Enterobacteriaceae
Description: bacterial LSU rRNA
Rfam family: Bacterial large subunit ribosomal RNA
Source: RNAcentral